Non-coding RNA from Candidatus Saccharibacteria bacterium 49-20, 57 nucleotides. NCBI's taxonomy places the organism in Bacteria, Candidatus Saccharimonadota. The record is from Rfam.
ACUAUGACCUGCGGGUCCUCUACGCGUCGACGUUCGGACGAGCCGAACCACUAACGC